Long non-coding RNA from Thalassophryne amazonica, 456 nucleotides. RefSeq lists it as uncharacterized. The record is from RefSeq and is a predicted model, not a curated record. Lineage: Eukaryota; Metazoa; Chordata; Actinopteri; Batrachoidiformes; Batrachoididae. The transcript is spliced from 2 exons.
CAACCUGAGUGAUUGUCUUCAGUUGAAUGAUGCCUCCUCUAGUUUUUAUUCAUCUCUAUGGGCUAGACCGUCUCGUUAUAUAUCGUCUGUGCUCGUUCCAAACGGCGUUUGUUCGGUCUCCGUGGUCUCAAAAGUCUAGAUCUUCGUCGAACGCAGCCUUCAAAGGAUGCAUUCCCUGAAUUGAGACACAGCCACAGAUACAUUUGUAUCCUUCACGGCGUAAUCAGUUUCAACUAAGAAUCUUUUUUUUGUUCCUUUUUUUUUUUUUUCCCCUCCCCAAAACAAAAUGGCGGAAAAAGAGGCAGCAGUUGACCAUAAACUGUACCAACUGAACACCGGCGAUUUCGUCUUUAAAUGGAGCAAGGAGCUGACAGCUGAAUUUAUAAAGUUGAGGGCAGAAAGUGAACACCUGUUCACAGGAGCCAGGUUUUCAGCCCGUAUGGGCUGGAGGUAAGU